This 318-nucleotide ribosomal RNA is filed under the name uncultured eukaryote. Its description in RNAcentral is "partial 18S ribosomal RNA". It matches the Rfam family "Eukaryotic small subunit ribosomal RNA", at positions 1470 to 1796 of the family's 1831-position model. The record is from RNAcentral.
CCCUUAGAUGUCCUGGGCCGCACGCGUGCUACACUGACGUAUACAGCGAGCACUUUCCAGUUCCGAGAGGCUACUGGUAAUCAUCAAUAUGCGUCGUGAUGGGGAUAGAUCUUUGGAAUUCUGGAUCUUGAACGAGGAAUGCCUAGUAAUCGCAGGUCAUUAGCCUGCGAUGAUUAAGUCCCUGCCCUUUGUACACACCGCCCGUCGCUACUACCGAUUUCGAGUGGUCAGGUGAAUCUUUCGGACUGUGGGCGCCCUUGAGGUGUUCGCGGAAAGUCAGGUAAAUCUUAUCACUUAGAGGAAGUAAAAGUCGUAACA